Molecule: unclassified non-coding RNA, 253 nt
Filed under: uncultured bacterium
Lineage: Bacteria
Description: contains 16S-23S intergenic spacer region
Rfam family: Bacterial small subunit ribosomal RNA
Source: RNAcentral
UACAGAGGGUGCGCGUGUUAAUCGGAUUUACUGGGCGUAGAGCGUGCGUAGGCUGCUUUUUAAGUCGGAUGUGAAAUCACCGAGCUUAACUUGGGAAUUGACUUCGAUACUGGGAAGCUAGAGUAUGGGAGAGGAUGGUAGAAUUCCAGGUGUAGCGGUGAAAUGCGUAGAGAUGUGGAGGAAUACCGAUGGCGAAGGCAGCCAUCUGGCCUAAUACUGACGCUGAGGUACGAAAGCAUGGGGAGCAAACAGG